Molecule: ribosomal RNA, 527 nt
Filed under: uncultured beta proteobacterium
Lineage: Bacteria; Pseudomonadati; Pseudomonadota; Betaproteobacteria
Also listed under: 1 other name
Description: bacterial SSU rRNA
Rfam family: Bacterial small subunit ribosomal RNA
Source: RNAcentral
AGAGUUUGAUCCUGGCUCAGAUUGAACGCUGGCGGCAUGCCUUACACAUGCAAGUCGAACGGUAGAGGGGCAACCCUUGAGAGUGGCGAACGGGUGAGUAAUGCAUCGGAACGUGCCCAGUCGUGGGGGAUAACGCAGCGAAAGCUGUGCUAAUACCGCAUGUGAUCUGUGGAUGAAAGCAGGGGACUUGGUAGCAAUACUGGGCCUUGUGCGAUUGGAGCGGCCGAUGUCAGAUUAGCUAGUUGGUAGGGUAAAAGCCUACCAAGGCGACGAUCUGUAGCUGGUCUGAGAGGACGACCAGCCACACUGGGACUGAGACACGGCCCAGACUCCUACGGGAGGCAGCAGUGGGGAAUUUUGGACAAUGGGCGCAAGCCUGAUCCAGCAAUGCCGCGUGCAGGACGAAGGCCUUCGGGUUGUAAACUGCUUUUGUACGGAGCGAAACGGUCUGGGUUAAUACCCUAGGCUAAUGACGGUACCGUAAGAAUAAGCACCGGCUAACUACGUGCCAGCCGCCGCGGUAAUUC